This 453-nucleotide ribosomal RNA is filed under the name uncultured bacterium. Its description in RNAcentral is "bacterial SSU rRNA". It matches the Rfam family "Bacterial small subunit ribosomal RNA", at positions 340 to 786 of the family's 1533-position model. The record is from RNAcentral.
UACGGAAGGCAGCAGGGGGAAUAUUGCACAAUGGGCGCAAGCCUGAUGCAACCAUGCCGCGUGUAUGAAGAAGGCCUUCGGGUUGUAAAGUACUUUCAGUCGUGAGGAAGGUGUUAAGGUUAAUAACCUUAGCAAUUGACGUUAGCGACAGAAGAAGCACCGGCUAACUCCGUGCCAGCAGCCGCGGUAAUACGGAGGGUGCGAGCGUUAAUCGGAAUUACUGGGCGUAAAGGGCACGCAGGCGGUUAAUUAAGUUGGAUGUGAAAUCCCCGGGCUUAACCUGGGAAUGGCAUUCAAGACUGGUUAGCUAGAGUCUUGUAGAGGGGGGUAGAAUUCCAUGUGUAGCGGUGAAAUGCGUAGAGAUGUGGAGGAAUACCGGUGGCGAAGGCGGCCCCUGGACAAAGACUGACGCUCAUGUGCGAAAGCGUGGGGAGCAAACAGGGAUUAGAUACC